RNAcentral lists this ribosomal RNA (602 nucleotides) under uncultured Helotiales. Its description in RNAcentral is "eukaryotic LSU rRNA". The stretch from base 238 to 391 matches the Rfam family "5.8S ribosomal RNA". Lineage: Eukaryota; Fungi; Ascomycota; Leotiomycetes; Helotiales. The record is from RNAcentral.
CUUGGUCAUUUAGAGGAAGUAAAAGUCGUAACAAGGUCUCCGUAGGUGAACCUGCGGAGGGAUCAUUACCGAGUUCAUGCCCACACGGGUAGAUCUCCCACCCUAUGUUAUCAUUACCUUUGUUGCUUUGGCGGGCCGCCAGGCUUCGGUCAGGCUACCGGCUCCGGCUGGUACGCGCCCGCCAGAGGACCCCAAACUCUGAAUGUUAGUGUCGUCUGAGUACUAUCUAAUAGUUAAAACUUUCAACAACGGAUCUCUUGGUUCUGGCAUCGAUGAAGAACGCAGCGAAAUGCGAUAAGUAAUGUGAAUUGCAGAAUUCAGUGAAUCAUCGAAUCUUUGAACGCACAUUGCGCCCCUUGGCAUUCCGAGGGGCAUGCCUGUUCGAGCGUCAUUACAACCCUCAAGCACUGCUUGGCAUUGGGCUCCGCUGCUAACCCAGCGGGCCUUAAAAUCAGUGGCGGCGCCCUCAGGCUCUGAGCGUAGUAAAUCUCCUCGCUAUAGAGUCCUGGUGGUGGUAGUCAUCAACCCCCAACUUUUCUUAAGUUUGACCUCGGAUCAGGUAGGGAUACCCGCUGAACUUAAGCAUAUCAAUAAGCGGAGGA